GCCGCCGCCGCCGCCUCCUCUUCCUCUUCCUCCUCAACCCCGACAUGAGCGGAGGGCUCGGGUACCAGCUGGGGCACCGGAGCUUCGCCGGGGGGCUCCAUGCUCGUCACCGGCCGGGAGCGACGAUGAGGCGGCGGGGAGACCCACGACAGCGCUGCGGCGGAGCUCCUGCACUCUGGCUGGCUGAAGGAGCGGGGACAGGAGCUCCCCGUUGCUCCAACUGCCGCUCCCCCCGGACCGCCGCGACUCCCCGCAGGAUCAGCAAACUUUCUGUUGCUGCCGUUACACAGGUUAGACCCAGCGCUGCCGCUGGCCACCAGACCGCCGUGACUCCCAGCGCUGGGGUUCACGCUGGUUGAAUUCGAGUUGCUACAGCCGCUGACUGAAGGUCCGUCUCCGGAGCUGCCGCCCGUUCUCCUCCCGGCGAAGUAGUCUCCUAGCGGCGGGGAGUGAGGCGGAGGGACCGCGGGGUGACCGAACCACCUCCAUCGGAUCCUGAGAAUCUGCUUCACAUCGAACUCCUUCCGCGAGGAAGAGCCCGAGCCGCUACUCGACAUUCCAGGGCUCUGCACGAAGAAAUGGCGGGGUGAGCCCGUGCCGCUCUGCCGUUAAAAGCUGCACACCUUAAUGUACGCGCGCCUCUCCUGGCAACCGCACGCCCGUUAACCGCGACUGGAAGUGCAGCUAUUCAUAGGCAGUGAUGAUCAGUGGGAUCUGGUCCUGUGGGAGCCAUACCACCCAGAACAGCAGCAGAUCAGCCAGUCAGGACCUUUCUCACCUUCUGCAGUAACCCCAGGACGAUGACAGGAUGUACCGGAGCCACAGAGCUGGAACACAGUGUGUUCUGGAUGGAGUCCUACUAACAGGAGGGGAGGGAUACUUUAGGAGCCCCACUCUAGCAAAAAUCAAUGAGUCAAACAGCCGAGAGCAUGUACCGGGAGAGUCAAAUGUUCUCAGAGCCCUGCACUCAAGGAACCAGAGAGUAAACCAAUGCAUUUCUGCAACACUCACAAUGGAAAUGCCGUCCUGUUACUGGGGGAGGCUGGGAAUGAGGCUCGGAGGGGCCAUUCAGCUCUGGUCUCCUUCAGUUGGAUCUAAUCAUUGGUCACUUGGCAGGAGCCUUCUUGAGCCGCCUACUGUUAUUGGUCUCCUGGCUGAGGCAGUCCAAGCCAAUCACUCAAAACUCUCUGGCACAGCUUUACGGCUAUACAACACUCUGGACACACAUACAAGCACACACACAUAAACACAGACACAAACGCAAGAAAAUGACACCAUGAAAUACCAUUCACACACCCUUCAUAGUCAAUAAACAUCCUGUUUAUGUGCACUCACACAUGCAAACAUGCAUGCACGGCACCACGCAUACACAUGUGCAAAUGGCAGCAUGCAAUUGCAUAUUCGCACACUAUGUACUCUAUAAGCAUCUGACUACACACACACGCACACACACACGCACACACACACACACACACACCCCAAAUAAAAACAAGUAGCAGUCAUCUGGGGAGUGCUGUUGUAAAAAGAUUUUAUGGGGCCAGAAAGUGAAACAUUAUCUGCCUGACCUGUCUGUGAUGAUCAGCUCAUCUCUCAUGACUGAUGUUCAUCCUGCAGUGGCCUUCUUCCAAUGUCUUUCUCUCUCCCUCUUUCUUUCUUCCUCCUCUUCCUUCCUUUCUGUCUCCCUUUUCUCCCUAGUCUGUGUUGAAGCCUUUGCUAUGUAUUCUCCCCAAUCUCCUUCCUAAUCUCAAUUUCCUGCUCUCCAUCCCUGCUAUUACUGUUACUGUGUACUGUGACACACAAGGGCACGUGUGUGUGUGUGUGUGUGUGUGUGUGGGGGGGGGUCUGUGAUUCCCUGAGGUGGAGACCUGCAGGGACGACGCUGCGAGAGGCUUUGUUCUAUAUAGCAUCACGGACAUACAUACAUCAUGACUUUCCUGCAUAUGCCCACACGCAUACACCUACACACACACACAGCUCUGACAAAUAUGAACCACAUACCCGAUAUACAUUCUGCAUGCAUACACAUAAAAACACAAGGAAACACUUUCAUUCAAGUCACGGCCCAUGCAUCACACACACACACACACACACACACACACACACACACACACACACACAUUCACUGCCUGCUUCCGUUGUGUUGCUUGGUACUGUAGCUGCAGGCAAGUCUGUCCUUGAGACUCAGAGCAGGCUCAGACUAGCCAAGCAAAUAAUUACCUCUCCACAUUGACAUGCUGGCUCCUCCCAACAUAUGAAGGAGAAGGAGGGAGCGUGUGUGAGUUUGUGGUUUGCAAUUAAAGUGAUCUGGAAGCACAAUAUUCAAUGUUAUUGAA
Molecule: long non-coding RNA, 2333 nt
Organism: Micropterus dolomieu (smallmouth bass)
Lineage: Eukaryota; Metazoa; Chordata; Actinopteri; Centrarchiformes; Centrarchidae
Exons: 3
Source: RefSeq, a predicted model, not a curated record